Molecule: long non-coding RNA, 19306 nt
Filed under: Durio zibethinus
Lineage: Eukaryota; Viridiplantae; Streptophyta; Magnoliopsida; Malvales; Malvaceae
Description: long non-coding RNA (DZIB_LNC001682)
Source: RNAcentral
UUGUCAUGAAAUUUUGACCUCAGGAAUGUCAAAUUACAAAAUAUUCUUAAAAGAUAUUUUAGUAAUUUUACAUCUCCUAAAGUACAAUUUGGAUCUUUAGUGCAUAAAAAAUAAUAAAAAAUUAUUAAUUUAUAAUUUGAAAGAUUUUAUGAAAUUUGAGUUUGAAAAAGCUAACCCCAUCUAUAAAUAGGGAAACUAGUUUACAUCUCAAGCAUCCCAUCUCAUUCCAGACGCUCUUCUUUUCUUUUUUCUUUAGUUCUCUUUUAGUUUUUAGUUAUUUAGCUUUCUUUGUAAUUGGUUUAGGUAACAAAUUUGCCAAUAAAACUUUUUUCUAAAUUCUUUUCUUUAAUGAAUGUAUUCUUUCAUGCAAAUUCUAGUUUUCUUUAAAGCUUUCUUACACUUUUUUCGGUUUUGUAAUAUUGUUUACAAGUUCUUAUAGUUUCAACAAUCUUUCCCAUCCUAUUCUUUUUAGUUUUUAAUCAAGCAAUCCUACUUCCUUCAUUUAAGUUUUGGUUCAUGCAAUCUUGUUUUAUGUUCUAUAAUUUUCAACCUUUCUUAAUCUUAUUAUUUCCAAAUUUCAAUUCUUAUUUUCCGUAGAUCGUGUUCAUUUAGACACGAUCCUAUUACUUACCAAGUAAUAAUUGGUACAGUUGGUUAAGUAAGAUAUAGGCCUUUCUUAGUUUAUAUAUAAAGUUUAAUCUAAGUUUAUAUAUAAAGUUUAAUCUAUCACUUUUGGUACUUGAAUCCACCCAACAAUCAAUUUUAUAAUCCUUCUAGAAUGAUAUCUGAUACUUAUCACUUUAUUAAUUGUUGCGAAAAUAGGUAAAUAGUACUCUAUUGCCAAAUUUUGGGUUUGUGAGGUGCUAUUGGUUUGGGCUAAAUAGGAGGAAGAAAGUUUGUAUACAAUGAGAAACAAUGAAAGAUGAAUAAUGAAAGAUUUGAGCAAAUUUUUAACUUUAUAAUAUGAAUUUAAAUUAAUAAAAAACAAAAGAAAAAGAAAAGAAUGAAAUUAGACAUGACAAUCUACGAUUCCAAUCCAUUGAUCCUAAUAGGAAUCUAAAGCAUUUUUUACUAAUAAAAUAUUUUAUGGUAAAACAAAUUUAACAACAGAGUGCAAUUUAUUAUCGUUAAGUAAUUUUCUUUUGAACACAUAAAUUAGACUUAAUUAAAAGAGAUAUUUUUUAUUAAAAAGGUUACCAACCGUUAAAUUCUUUAUUAAACAUUUAACUUCUUUUAAACUCUUCAAAAAUGUAUUUGAUAAUUUUUCAAAAAAAUUAUCUAUUUCAUUAUUAUAAAAUUUAUUACUUUCACAAUUGCUAUUGAAAUAUUAUUUGAUUCUUUUAUUUUUUAUGAGUUUGAUUUUUUAUUUAUUUAUUAUAAGAUUAAUGUCAAAAUAUACUCCACUUAUUUAUAAGAAAUUUUAAUAUAAUAUUUAAAUCUAAAAAAUUUAUAAUAUUAUACUUAAAUUAUUAAUUAAUAAUCAUUAAUUAAUGUGAUAUUUAAAUAAUUAUUAUUUAUCCGUCAAACCAGAUUACAAGCAAAGGGUACGAAUAAAACAUUAAAGAUUUUAAUGUACAGAUAACAUUAACGCUCCAUUUGUUUCGUAAUAAGUAAUUUUUUAAAAAUGAUUUUCACAUUUUCAUGUACUCAUUUGGUAAAAAUUUCACUAAUCAACAAAAAAUAAAUUAUCGAUCAACUCAAAAUCAUUUUUUUGAAAAUUAUAUUACGAAUUUGAGAAUGAGAGACAUUUUGUAAAAAAAAAACUAAUUAUGAGUAAAACUAUUCAUCAAUACUUUUAAAUAUAAUUUUACUUUUAAAUAAUAUUAUAUUAAUAAAUAAUAUUAUAUUAAUAGAUAAUAUACUAUUAAUAUAAUAUAUUAAUAAAUAAUAUUAUAUUAAUAAAUAAUAUUUAAUAUAUUAAUAAAAUAAUAUAAAAAUAAUAAAUAAUUUUAUUUUAAUUAUAUUUAUAUUAACAUAAUAUUUUAAUAUUAAAUAUUAUUAAAAUAUAAUUAUUUGUAAAUAUUAAUAAUUUUAAUAAUAAAUAAUUUUAACAUGCUUUAAGAAUAAAUAAUUUUUAAUAUUUAAAUAAUUAACUAAUAUUAUUUUUUAAAAAAUAAUCAAAUAAAAAUAUUUUUUAUUAAUUAAUUUAAAUAUUAAAAAAUUACUUUCAAUUCAAAAAAUGUAAAUAUCUUUAAAAAUUAUAUUUCAAAAACCAUUUUUCGCCCGAAACAAUCGAAACUUAGAUAUUAAUGUAUUGUAGAGGUUAUUAUGGCAUUGACGCACAAAUUCCAGUCACCGUUUUGAAUUUAAGCCCAUAUUGCUCUGUUUCUGUCCAGACGUACUACAUCUAUCAACAAAAUAUAUGAUCUAUUACAAGCUUCCACAGAUCUUGAAAUCUCGAGCAGUUGUUGCUAUUCUCUGAAAAUCACAACGUUAUCAAAUACCUAUUAUUUAUCUUGCAAUUGAGACAUUUCCGUGCAUGAAUUCCAAGUCCUCGAAUAAAUCAAUCAUUUAGCAAAAUACUGGUAAAUUAUAAAAAGUUUAAGCAAGAAGAAGAAGAAAAAUUAAAACCAAACCUGAAGGAAGCUACCCAAGACAGGACAAGGUAGGGAAGGUGAGCAACGGUUGGAAAUCAAGGGUAUGGGAGGUGUGGGGAAGAAUUGCACCUCUUUGAUUAAAAAAAGGUCAUAAUUCUGCCCAAAUCCCCCAUACCUAUAACUCACAACACCACUCCCUUUCCCUCCAACUCCUUUCACUUUCGGAAGUUUCAUAUAUGAAAGAAACAAGGGAUAGAGAGAGAUAGAGGAAAUGUUUGGAAUGGGCGGAGUCGGUAGAAGAGAAGAAUUGGUGUAUUAAAAAAAAAAAUGUUUUGCCAAUCCACCCAUCUCCAAAAACUUCCGAUAUCAAUCUCUACCCCUCUCUCUCACGUAUCAGAUGAUUGACUGUUGAAGGAUGAGUGAGCAUUGAGCAUGGCAGUAAAUAUAAAGGGAGAAAACGAGUGAGGUAGUAGGCUUCUUUUUUUCUUUUUCUUCUUUACGAAAGGAAACCGCGUUGUGUUGAAGUCACAUGGAAAAGCAAAGGAAAGUGAGAGGAAGGUGCAGGCAAGGCUGCAGAUGUGGAAAUGGGAUGACAACUUUGGAGAUAAGGACAAUUUACCCACCCAUACGACAACUGCCGUCAUUAGUUUUUUUUUUUUUUUUCGUUUUUUACAAACGUCUAUAACAAGUUUAAAUUUUUUAAUUCUUUAUUUAUAAUAAAAUCAGUAAAUACUAAUUAUUAGUUUUAUAGAAUUAAAUAUUAAUUAUUGAUUAAAUCUAGAAUAAAAUAAGAGAAAAUUUGUUUAUCAAAUAAUAAGAUUUUAAAAUAAAAUUUAUAAAAUUUUAUACAAAAUUUAAAUAAUUUUCACUUUGUAUAAUAGUUUUUAUUUUCCACUUUAUUACAUGCUUAUAAAAUUACUUAAAAAUAAAAAUAAAAUAUUGUUUUUAAAAAACAUUUAAUAUAAUUGAUAUCUUUUAAAUACCUAAAAAUAUUAUAAAUAAAAAUAAUUCUAAAGAAUUUUUAAAAUAUUAAAAUAAAAAUUCUUUCAAAGAAAAAUUAAAUUAAAAAUUUUAUAUUUUAAAAUAAAAAUAUAAAAAUUGUUAACUAAUCAAAUGAGAGAAAUAAUCAAAUUAUAUCAAUUUAUAUAAAAAUAUGAUGAAGUGUUGUACCACGGUGAAAAAAGAAUUAUAAAACUUUUAAAUAUAGUUGAAUGUAAGAAAAAGUAUUAGAAGAAGUAUUUUAAGGUAAAUAAUUAAAUUACCAAUAUAAAUUUUAAAUUAAUUGUUUUUGUUAUAAAUAUAUAAGAAAAAUAGUUAAAAAAUACUUUUAAGGAUAAAACAAAUGUAAGGUAAUGUUUAGUAUGAGAUAAUCACUUUAAAAAUCAUAGUGAUUUGCACGUAGUGAUGUAAAUAUUGUGUUUGGUAAGCAUUUGAUGAUUUUACGUGGUGGUGAUCUUAGAUAACUGAGAGUGAUAAAAUUAUUAUCUUGGAAGGUAAUUUAAUUCAUAUACAAAAAGAUUAGAAAUUUUUAUCAACGAAGUGAAGUAAUGUAUAAAAUUAAUAAUAGUCAAUAUUAUCUAUUUAAUAUGUGAAUUAAAAACUUACUUCUUCUUAAAAUUAUAAUUUUUUUAUAUUUCAAAUUAAUAUUUAUUGUAACAAAUUAAAAAAAAUAUGUUUUCUCUUUCAUUUUUUAAUACUUUAUACAUAAUUUAAUUUUUUUUGUUUUUCUUUUAUUAUGAAUUUAAUAUUAUAUUUUUUAUUUUCUAAUUCAAAUAUUCUUUACAUAAUUUAUAUUAUAAAAAUUAAUUUAUUUAUCAAUAAAUAUAUUUAAUAAUUUAAUAAUAUUUUAUUAUAGAAUAAAUAGAAUAUUACUAAUUUUGACAAAUUAUUAUCUUUAAACAAUAUUAAAAUUAUUAAUUUGUAUAACUAUUAUAAAAUACAUGAUUUUUUGCACUUUUAAAUAAAAUAAUAUUUGAUUUUUAGUAAUACCAAACAUAUUAAUAUUUAAUUCCUAAGAAUUAGUUAUUGUUAACCCAAAAAAGUGAUAUCAAGUCAUGAGUGAUAAUAAAAUUAUCUCGAUAAUUACAUUAUCAUGAUGAUCUUACAAAAGAUACCAAAAGCUACUAAAAAGAAAUGAUAUUUUGGAAUAAAAAUAUUAAUAAAAAAUUUAUUAACUUAAGCAAGUGAAAGAAACCAUAAAAUUCAUAUCAUAUAGCAAAAAAUAUGUUAGAAGUGUUAUCACACCUAAGAAAGAGUUAUAAUAAUUUUAAAAGUAAUAAAAUGUAAGAACAAUAGUAAAAAAAAAAAAAUACUAUUGAAAUGUAAAUGAUUAAGUGAGUAAUGUAAAAUUUUAAUUAAUUAUUAUUUUUAUAAAUAUAUAAGGAAGAUACCUAAUAAAUAAAAAAAAUACAGGCAAUGCAAAUAGGUGUGAGGAUGUGUACCAUUUUAAGAAAAAUAGGUAAGAAAUGUCAUAAUACACUAAGAAAGAUCUAUGACAAUUCUAAAUGUAUUGGAAAAUAAACAAGUGUGAACAAACAAAAAAUUAGAAUAAUUUGGUGUAAAAUGGGUAAAAGGUGUCAUGAGACACUAAGAAAUGUUAUAACAAUUUUAAACAUAAUAGAAUGUAGGAAUAGCUAUAAGCCGAUAGUAUUGUAACAUAAAUAAUUAUGUUGGUAAUGUAAAAUUUUAACUAAUUAUUAUCUUUUAAAUAUAUAAGAAAAAUAGCUAAAAUUGAAAAAAAAAAAGUAACGUAAAGAGUGAGAAAAAAUGUAAAAUAAGUAUGAUUAGGUCUAAAAAUGGAUAACAAGUGUCCUAACACACUACGAAAAAAUUGUUAUAAUUCUAAAGGAAAAUAGAUAAAAUUGAAAAACAAAUAAGUAAUGUAAAAAGCGAGAAAAAACAUAAAAUAAAUAUCAUUAGGUCUAAAAAUGGAUAAAAAGUAUCCUAACACACUAAGAAAAAGCUAUUAUAAUUCUAAAUGUAAUUAAAGGUAAUAACAAUCAUUAAAUAAAUUAUUGUAAUGUAAAUAAUUAAGUUACCAAUAUAAAAUUUUAAUUAAUUAUAUUUAAACAUAUAUGAAAAUAGCUAAAAUUUACAAAAUAAGUUGGUAACAUAAACAAGUAAAAAGAAAUGUAAAAUUAGUAACAUUUAGCGUAAAAUGAGUAUAAAUUGUUGUAAUACACUAAAAAGAAUUAUGACAAUUUUAAAUGUAAUGGAAAGUAAGAACAAUCAUAAUAAUAUAUUAUUGUAACAUAAAUAAUUAUUUUGGCAAUGAAAAAUUUUAAUUAAUUAUUAUUAUGUAAAUAUCUAAGAAAAUAGUUAGAAAUUAAAAAGUAAAUUGGUAGCAUAAACAAAUGAGAACAAAUAUAACAUUAGUAUCAUUUGACAUAAAAUGGGUAAAAAGUGUUAUCACACAUUAAGAAAAUAUUAUGAUAAUUCUAAACAGAAUGAAAAGUAAAAACAACCUUAAGAAGAUAUUAUUGUAAAAUAAAUAAUUAUGUUGACAAGAUAAAAUUUAAUUAAUUAUUGUUCUACUACAACAAAAUUACGAUAUAUUAAUGCUAAAAAAAGUCGGUAUAGCUCAAUAAACCUUUUACCGAUGAUUAAAAUGCCUGUUCCAAUGACAUUUUAGUCAUCAAUAUGUCUCUUGUCGAUAUGGGUUUAUACCAAUAGAUUUUUAACUGUCAAAAUAGAGAUAUAUUGAUGGCUUGAGUCCAUUAAUAAUUGUAUAGCUAUUUAUAUAACAUCUACAGUGUGUUUCUGACAUUAUACUUUUUGUUGGCCUUGAAUUGAUUAAGAGUUUUGAUUUGACAAAAUAAAAAUUUGCCAAACUUGUUUCAAUCUUAAUCUUGUUUAAGCUUAAAUUGAACAUUUUUCCACCCUUCUAUCUUACCAAAAUUCAUUUGAGAACCAAAACAACUCAAAUUCUCGGAACAAAACAUGAUUUAUACAAGUUUUGAUAGAAGGGAUCGAUCCCCUCAAGGAAGGGAUCAAUCCCUUCCAUUACUAGAUCGAUGCCCUAGUAAAAGGGAUCGAUCCUAUUUUCAACCAGAACCGAAAGUUCUCAAGAUUUGGUAAAAAUUGAUCGAUCCCCUUCCUGUAAGGGAUCGAUCCCCUCAUUUAAGGGAUCAAUCACUUUUUCAUAUAGAAUGCUUUCUUCACGUAAUUUUCUAGAAAAGGGAUCGAUCCUCUUACAUAGAGGAUCGAUUACCUAAGGUAAGGGAUCGAUCUCCUCUUAAAGGGCUUGAUCGGUUGUUCAAACAGAAUGUCCCCAAGUGUGAAAACCCAGAAAAGGGAUCGAUCCCCUCACAUAGGGGAUCGAUCACCUAAAAGAACAGAUCGAUCCCUUUAAACAAGGGAUCGAUCGGGUAAGGCAAAAUAGGCAUAAAAUCAAGCUUUCUCAAACAUGAACCAAUCGAUCACUUAAGGGAGGGGAUCGAUCCCCUGAAGGCCUGAAACUUUUAACGACUAUUUUCUGUCCAAAAUUUAUGCAGGUUUAAAGCAUUAAAUGCAAUCCAACGGCUCUUAACUUUUUUCUAAGUAUAAAUCAAGUAUUCUACUAUAGAUCAAGAGUAACAAGAGCUAAAGAAACUUAUUGCUAUUCACCUACCAAUCUACUCAAGUAUUCAAAGCUAUAAAAAAAGAAAAAGUACAAAAUUUAUAUAAGUUUUUCUCUACUUUCUUAUCUAUAUAUUUGUGUACUUCAACUUAGCAAACACCUAGCCCUUGUGAGGUUCUUAGAGUUUGCCAAACACUUUUGAAUUUUAUGUAUUGUGAGUGUGUAAUCUUAAGGUGGAAGAUAACCAUUAAGAGUGUAUGUUGUUGAGUUUGUAAAUCUUUGUGAAAGCUUAGUUCUAAUCUUCAUCAAAUAGUGGAUUGAACUCCUUAGCAAGAGAGGUUAAAGGAGAGGACGUAGGUGCCUAAGAAAGGACCGAACCUUUAUAAAUCUUGAUGUUAAAUUCUCUAACCCUAUCUUUUGUUUAUAUUCAUCUAUUGUGCUUAUCUAUUUUGAUAAUUUGUGAUUAUUGAAUGUUAUCUUUGAAAAUUUUAUUAAAACCAAUUCACCCCAUCUUGGUUUUUCAAGUCUUUGAGCUAACAAUUGGUAUCAGAGCUAGUACUCUUUCUAUAGGUUUAAUAGCCCAAAAGUGAUCUUGAAAAUAGGUUAAAGAAAUAUGGCAAUCAAUGUGGAAAAAUCAUCCUUAAGCUAUAACAACUAUACCUACCAAUAAGCGAUGUGCCUCAUGACAAAUGAAACAGUUGUAACAUCUCUUGGAAGUUGAAGGCAUUCAAUUGUUAGACCUCCUCUCUUUGCUGGUGACAACUACUCCUAUUGGAAGACUAGGAUGAGGCUGUUUAUUCAAGCAAAUGAUUAUGAAGUCUAAAGGGUCAUUACAAAUGGUCCUAAAAUUCCAAUGAAUAUGGUGGAUGGUAAGGAGGUGAUAAAGCUAGAGAGUGAAUGGGAUGUCAAUGACAUGAAGAUGGCUCAACUCAAUGCCAAAGAAAUGCACACAUUCUUUUGUGCAUUGAGACCAUGUGAGUAUAAUAGAGUCUCCUUAUGUGAGAAUGUAAAGGAAAUUUGGGAUAAGUUAGCUGUCACCUAUAAGGGUACAAACCAAGUGAAAGAGACAAAAAUAAGCAUACUUACUCAUGAUUAUGAGUUGAUCAAGAUGAAAUCUGAUGAAACCAUCAGUGAGAUGUCAAAUUGCUUCACCGACAUCAUUAAUGGUUUAAAGGCUCUUAGGAAGACAUUCAAAUGUGGAUAUGGUAAAGAAAAUUCUCAAUAGUCUACCAAAGAAUUAGAAAGCUAAAGUGACAUCCAUUGAAGAGUCCAACGAUCCUCAUACAUUUUUUUUGGAUGACCUAAUGGGCUCUCUCCUCACUUAUGAAAUGAAGAUAAAAAAGAGACAAAAACCAGUCAAAAAAGGUGACAUUGCUCUCAAAUCUACCUUUCAAAAGGAUAAAGAAAAUUUUGCUCAAGAGGAGGAUGAUGAAGAUGAAGAGAUGGCCAUGUUUGCAAAGCGAUUCAAGAAGUUCAUGAGAAUGAACAAGUUUUCAAUUAGGAGAAGACCAUAAAGGAAGAUGACUAAAGGAAAAUCAAGUAGAAGAGAAAAGGAUCAAAUUAUUUGCUAUGAAUGCAACAAAUUAGGUCACAUUAAACUUGAUUGUACUUUAUGAAAAAAGCAGAACAUGACCAAGCCAAAGAAGAAAGCUAUGGUAGCAACAUGGAGUGAUAGCGACUUUUUCGAUGAUGAAUCAAAAAGAAGAAAGUAGCCAACCUAUGUCUCAUGACUCUUGAUGAGCUCAAGGUAACCUCUAAUCCAUGUGAUUCAAAUUCAUACUCAUUUGAUGAACUACAAGAUGCCUAUGAUGAAUUAGCUAUAGAAUUUGAGAACAUAAGCAUGAAAUAUAAGAAAAUGAUCAGUAAAUUGAAACUAGAAAAUGAGUCAUUGACUAAAGCAAAAGAAGACUUAGAAAAGGAAGUUGAGCUCUUGAAGGUAAAUGUCAAUGACUUGACUAAGAAAAAUGAAAAACUGCAUAAUUCAUUUUUUAGAUUUUAUAUGGGUCAUCAAAAACUCAACGACAUGAUAGAAACACAAAGAGCUUUCUUUGAUAAAGAUGGAUUAAGUUAUAAUGGUGACAACAAAGAGACUCACUUGAAGAAAGUCACUUAUAGAGGUAAGCUCAUUAGGAGAGUGUGGAUUCUAAAAGGAGUUAGCACAUCUCAAGAUGAGGCUACUAAAAUGAAGUGGAUUUCAAAAGGCACAAAAAUUAUUAGUACUAACUCUCAAGGACCCAAGAAAAUUUGGGUACCCAAAAUAAAAAUUUAAUUAUGUUUUUGUAAGUGGAUGAGCAUUGCUACAAAGCAAAUUCCAGCAAGAACAAUCAAUGGUACCUUGAUAGUGGAUGCUUAAAACACAUGAUCGGAGAUAAAACUCUCUUUAAGGACUUGAAAGCAAAAAGUGGAGGAAAUGUUACAUUUGAUGACAACUCAAAAGGCCAAAUUGAAGGGAUUGGCUCCAUUGGUAACAAUUCAUCUACUUUUAUUGAAAAUGUUUUACUUGUGAAAGGUCUCAAGCAUAAUUUACUUAGCAUUAGUCAAUUAUGUGAUAAAGGAUUUAGAGUUGUGUUUGAAUCCAUGUGCUGUCAAGUAAUUGAUAUCAAAACUAACAAGCUUGGUUUUGUUGGACACCGUCAAGGAAACAUUUAUGUAGCGCAUCUAGAUGACCUAUCCUCUAAAAAUGUUUGUUUUAUGGCUCAAAAAUAAAAUGAGAGUUGGAUUUGGCAUAAAAGGCUUGGACAUGCAAGUAUGCAUGUAAUUUUAAAACUUUCUCAAAAUAAUUUGGUUGUUAGUUUGCCAAAGUUGAAAUAUGAAAAUGACAAUGUUUGUGAUGCAUAUGCUUAAGAAAAACAUAGAAUAAUUUUUUUCAAACCUAAGAAUUGCAUUUCAACUAUUAGACUUCUUCAACUAUUGCAUAUUGAUAUUUUUGGCCCUACUAGAACAAUGAGUCUUAGUGGAAACCAAUAUGGGUUUGUUAUUGUUAAUGAUUUCACUAGAUUCACAUGGGUUCUCUUUUUGCAUUCAAAGAAUGAGGCUUUGGAAAAAUUCAUCACUUUUAGCAAACAAAUACAAAAUGAAAAAAGUUAUUCAAUUACUAGUAUUAGAAGUGAUCAUGAAAAGAAAUUUGAAAAUCUAGGCUUUAAUAUACUUUGUAGUGAAAAUGGUAUUAGCCACAAUUUUUCUUCUCUUAGAACUCCUCAACAAAAUGGGGUAGUAGAAUGAAGAAAUAGAACUUUAGAAGAAAUGGCUAGAACCAUGCUUUGUGAAAACAAUCUACCUAGAUAUUUUUGGGCGAAAGCCAUAAAUACUUCUUGUUAUAUUAUAAAUAGAGCUAUGAUUAGGCCAAUUUUGAAAAAAACCCCUUAUGAACUUUUUAAAGGAAAAAGGCCUAACAUAAGUUAUUUUCAUCCUUUUGGUUGCAAAUGUUUUAUUUUGAUAAAUGAAAAAGAUGAUCUUGGAAAAUUUGAUGCAAAAAGUGAUGAAGGAAUUUUCGUAGGAUAUUUUUUGAAUUCAAAAGCUUAUAGAGUUUUCAAUAAAAGAACAUUAGUGGUGGAAAAGUCUAUGCAUGUUAUUUUUGAUGAAUCUAACCCACUUCUAAGAAAGGUGUUUCUUGAUGAUGAUGAUGUAAGUAUACUUCAAGAAUGGAUCAAUGAUGAACCUUAUGACAUUGAGAAAAAAAAUCAAAAGAAAAAAGAUGAGUUUUUAGAAGAGCCACAACACAUAAAGAGAGAGCCAAAUCAUCUUAGAGAAAAGAGGUAUGUCAAAGAUAGUGAAAUCAUUGGUAAUCCAACUUAAGGGGUAAGAACUAGAUCUUCUUUUAAUGUGUGUAAUUAUGUUACUUUCCUAUCUGAUAUUGAACCUAAAAAUAUAGAUGAAGCAUUAGGAGAUGAUCAUUGAAUUUUGGCCAUGCAGGAAGAAUUAAACCAAUUUGAAAGAAACCAUGUAUGAAAUCUUGUACCUAGGCCUAGUGACCAUCCCACCAUAGGCACCAAAUGGGUCUUUAAGAAUAAAAUGGAUGAGAAUGCGAAUAUCAUUAGAAAUAAAGCUAGAUUGGUAGCUCAAGGGUAUAGGUAAGAAGAAGGAAUAGAUUAUGAUGAAACCUAUGUUCCGAUAGCAAGGUUAAAAGCCAUAAAGAUGUUACUUGCAUUUACAUGUUUUAAAAAUUUUAAGCUUUUUCAAAUGGAUGUUAAGAGUGGAUUUCUUAAUGGUUUUAUAAAUGAAGAAGUGUAUGUAAAGCAACCUCUCGGUUUUGAAAAUCCAAAAUUUCCAAAUCAUGUUUAUAAAUUGACAAAAGCAUUAUAUGAUUUAAAACAAGCUCCUAGAGCUUGGUAUGAAAGAUUGUCAAUUUUUUUGAUUGAAAAUGGUUUUAAUAGAGGAAAGGUUAACACUACACCUUUUAUUAAAACAAAAGGUAAGGACAUUCUCAUAGUGCAAAUUUAUGUUGAUGAUAUUAUAUUUGGUGCUACUAAUGAAAUUCUUUGUCAAGAAUUUGCUAAGAUUAUGUAAGGUGAAUUUAAAAUGAGCAUGAUGGGAGAACUCACAUUCUUCUUGGGACUACAAGUAAAGUAAACAAAAAAUGGCACCUUCAUUAAUCAAGCCAAAUACAUCAAGGAUUUGCUUAUAAGGUUUGAAUUGAGAGAAUCAAAGCCUUGUUUAACACCAAUGAGCACCUUAACAAAGCUUGACAAGGAUGAAUGAGGUAAAUGUGUUGACUCUAAACUAUAUAGGUCUAUGAUUGGUUCAUUGCUAUAUCUUAUUGCUAGUAGACUUGAUAUUAUGUUUAGUGUAUGUUUAUGUGCUAGAUUUCAAUCAUCUCAUAGAGAAACACAUUUGUCUACUAUUAAAAGGAUUUUUAGAUACCUUAAGGACAUCCUAAAUUUAAGAUUAUGGUAUCCAAAAGGCUCUUCCUUUGCUUUACAUGCCUAUUCGAAUGUGGAUUUUGGUGGGUGCAAAAUUGAUAGAAAAAGAACUUCUGAUAUUUGUCAAUUGUUUGGAAAUAUGCUCAUAUCAUGGUUUUUCAAUAAACAAAAUAGUGUUGCUCAAUCUACAACUGAAGCUGAAUAUGUAACGACUGGAAGUUGUUGUACCUAGGUUUUGUGAAUUAAGCAACAAUUAGAGGAUUUUGGAAUAAUCAUGGAUCAUAUUCCCAUUAAAUGUGACAAUACUAGUGUCAUCAACCUCACUUAAAAUCCAAUUCAACACUCUAAAACCAAACAUAUUGAAAUUAAACAUCAUUUUAUUAGAGAUCAUGUUCAAAAGGGUGACAUUGUACUUGAAUAUGUUGACACCUUGCAUCAACUAGCUGAUAUCUUCACAAAACCUCUUGAUAAGGAUAGAUUUUAUGCAAUGAGAGGUGAACUUGGCAUGAUGAAUGCUCCUUGAAAUGAAAUUCUUGAUGUUAUCAUGUAUGGUGCACUUUUGAUUGAUUAAAUGUAUGUUUUUCUGAAUUUUUCUUUGGUUUGUGCAUGAUUGUAAAAUGCUUGUUUGAAUGAUCAUAUUGCAUGGUUUUCAACAUGCUACAGCAAAAACCAAUCGAUCCAUUUUGGAAUGGAUCGAUUGGUUCUUCACCCCGUAACCAAAGUAAAAAGAAAACAUAGGGAACCAAUCGAUCCCCUUUGGAUAGGAUUGAUCGAGUGUAAAGGCAGUAGCCAAUUUCGUUGAACCCAGGCAAAAUCGAUCGAUCCCUCUUGGGACAAGAUCGAUUAGGUGUGAAGGCAGUAGCCAAUUUCACUAAACCCAAGAAGAAUCGAUUGAUCCCCUCUUUGACAGGAUUGAUCGGGUAUUCAACCAGUAGCUAAAAUGACUUGGAAAGGUGCAAAACUGAUCUAUCCCCUUCAAACCCAAUCGAUCGAUUUCAUGCAAAGGUAAAAAAUUGAUCGAUCCCCCACUUCACCUGAUCGAUUGAUUCAUGAAUUUUGGGCAUGAUAAAUUCAGGUUCUCACCUGUUUAGCCGAUCCUUUCAUCUUUCCUUUCCUAUUCAUCUUCUUUCCCAACUUUUUCUCUCUACACUAUACAUAUUCCCAUUAAAAAUUGACUCAUUCUCUUACAAAUUUCUCUUGUAAACUCACUACCCACUAUUUCUUACUUAUCAAACUCAUUUCCCAUGGCACCCAAAAUGAAAGUCAUGGCUGGACGACAAAACCCUCCAAGAAAGGCUUCAAGCUCCACCAUGAAGCCUUUUUUCAACCAAAAUUUCAACAAUCCCGAUGCCAAGGAGUGGUAUGAGACACACUUUGCUCAUCGGGAAGUAAAGCCUGAAAGGGUAAUCUCGUUAGACUUCCUUCAAUCAAUAGAGUUUUCCUAUUUGCAUACUUUUGAGUCUUUUGGAUGGAUGCCUUACUUGUGUAUAGAGAGUCACUUAUUUGAGAAUCUAGUAAGAGUGUUCUAUAGUAAUGCUAGCUGUGUUCAAAUUGAAGGAACAAAUAGGCAUUUCCUUGAUAGGUUCAAAACAAAUGUAAAGGGGAAGAAAAUCUUAGUUACAAAAUAAGUGCUAGCUGAGGCCUUUACAUUAGCUGAUAAAAGGGAAACAAAUCCUAGAUGUGAUAUGGUGCAACUAGCUCAAGAUAUCUUUAGGAAUCACAAUUUAUAGGUUGCUCUCACACAAGCCUCUAGGUUACCCAUGCAUGAUCGAUUGCUACACCUUAUUAUAACCCAUGUGUUAGCCCUUUUUGGGACCCAAUACUCUACCAUUAAGAAACAAGAUUAUUGGUGGAUGUACAAGACCAAGCAUGAACAGAAACCAAAUUUGAUACACUUCAUUUUUAGUGACAUGAUGAGUAUUGUCCGGAAUAAAGAUGUUACUCUGGUAUAUGGGUAUGCUAUAAGCAAUCUUUUAAGACAUUUGCAAGUAAACACUAGAGGUGACAGAGAGAUGCACAUCAAUGACCCAUUUAGUAUUCUUGGGCCUCUUACAUUGCAUAGUAUGGGGUAUGUUGAAACUCCAGCUGGCCAAUGGGUUAAAAAGAGGGAUAUUGGUGUUGCACAAGAGGAAGAGGAAGAGCAAGACCUUGUAGAUAUGCCUGCACCUCAAGGAGAACCCCCUAGCACACCUUUUGACACUCAAGGUGCCCUAGAAAUGCUCUUACUUCAUAUGAACAGCCUGCACUCGGUGGUUGGCACUAUGAGUACUAGAUUGGAGUCCAUGGAGGAAACUUAAAAUGAACUUGUGGCACAAGUCCAGCAUUUUUGAGCUGAUAUUGAGCAUAUGAGGUCUACUCCUCAGCACAUGGGACAAUCUUGCAUUACUCUCCUCUUCCACCUCCAUCUUUUCAUUCUCCACCUCCACCUCAAUGAAGCCUUUUUACUGCCAUCUUUUAUGUUUUCCCACAUUUUCUUUAUUUUUGUAAAUAUAACUUUGCAUUAUUGGUUUGUGACUUUGCUCUUAUAUUAAUGCAACUUAUCUUUUAUUCUCUUGUUGGCUUGUGACUUUUGUGGCUCUGUGGCAUUGUUGUUGUGUUUUCAUGUUUAAAGUGAAUCUUGGGUGGCUGAAUUGCUUAAAUCCCUCAUUCUUGAAUUUACUUCAUUUACAUAUUUUUGCUUUAUGACAAAAAAAGAGAAAUAUUGUAAUGAAAAUUGUUGAUGUAUGAAAAUCUGAUAUGUUUCUGAUCAUUGAUAAUGAAUAUUGGCAUUGAUAUAUUGAUGGUAUGGUGAUAUUACUCUUGUUUAGUUUGCCUUAAAUCUUAUGCCUAAAUUCAGGGGGAGCUUUUUUCAAAGGGGAAAAUGUUUUUCAUGCAAAUUUUCAGUUUGAUUUUGGUCAUAUCAAAAGGGGGAGAUUGUUGGCCUUGAAUUGAUUAAGAGUUUUUGAUUGACAAAUAAAAAUUUGCCAAACUUGUUUCAAUCUUAUCUAAGCUUAAAUUGAACAUUUUUCCACCCUUAUCUUGCCAAAAUUUAUUUGAGAACCAAAACAACUCAAAUUCUCGGAAUAAAACAUGAUUUAUGUAAGUUUUGAUAAAAGAGAUCGAUCUUCUCAAGGAAAGGAUCGAUCCCCUCCAUUACCAGAUCGAUCACCUAGCAAAAGGGAUCGAUCUUGUUUUCAACCGGAACUGAAAGUUCUCAAGAUUUGACAAAAAUCGAUCAAUUCUCUUCCUAUAGGGAUCAAUUGGUUAACAGAAUGGAUCGAUCCCCUCAUUUAAGGGAGCAAUCACUUUUUCAUACAAAAUACUUUCCUCGCGUAAUUUUUUAGAAAAGGGAUCGAUCCCCUCACAUAGAGGAUCGAUCACCUAAGGUAAGGGAUCGAUCCCCUCUUAAAAGGAUCGAUCGGUUGUUCAAACAGAAUGUCCCCUAAGUGUGGAAACCCAAAAAAGGGAUCGAUCCCCCCACAUAAGGGAUCGAUCACCUAAAAAAACCAAUCGAUCCCCUUAAGUAAGGGAUCGAUCGGGUAAGGCAAAAUAGGCAUAAAAUCGGGCUUUCUCAAACAUGAACCAAUCGAUCCCCUAAGUGAAGGGAUCGAUCCCCUGAAGGCCUGAAACUUCCAACGGUUAUUUUUUGUCCAAAAUUUAUGCAGGUUUGAAGCAUUAAAUGCAAUCCAAUGGCUCUUAACUUCUUCCUAACUAUAAAUCAAGCAUUUCACUGCAGACCAAGAGUAACAAGAGCUAAAGAAACUUAUUGCUAUUCACCUACCAAUCUGCUUAAGCAUUCAAAGCUGUAAAAAGAGAAAAAGUGUAAAAUUCAUAUAAGUUUUUCUCUACUUUCUUAUCUAUACAUUUGUGUACUUCAACUUAGCAAACACCAAGCCCUUGUGAGGUUCUUAAAGUUUGCCAAACACUUCUGAAUUUUCUAUAUUGUGAGUGUGUAAGCUUAAGGGGGAGGAUAACCUUUAAGAGUGUAUGUUGUUGAGUUUGUAAAGCUUUGUGAAAGCUUAGUUGUAAUCUUCAUCAAAUAGUGGAUUGAACUCUUCAGCAAGAGAGGCUAAGGGAGAGGACGUAGGUGCCUAAGAAAAGAUCGAACCUCUAUAAAUCUUGGUGUUAAAUUAUCUAACCUUAUCUCUUGUUUAUAUUCAUCUAUUGUGCUUAUCUAUUUUGAUAAUUUGUGAUUAUUGAAUAUUAUCUUUGAAAAUUUUAUUAAAACCAAUUCACCCCCCUCUUGUUUAUUCCAAGUCUUUGAGCUAACACUUUUUACUGAUAGUUAAUACCCAUUGAUAUAAACUUUUAUGUUUUGAAUUUUCCUAUCUAUACCAAUAGUUUGUCUAAUGUUAUAUCUUUUAUCAAUGGUCAAUGACUAUCGAUACAACCUUAUGCAUUUUUACCUAUACUGAUAGUUUGUCUAACAUUUUAUUUUUACCGACGUUAAGACUCGUUGAUAUAGCAUUAUUUGUUUUUACCUAUAUCGACGAUUAAUAAGGUGGUAGAGAUGUUAAAGCAUUGUUAAAAAAGAUUUCUUUUUUAAUUAUUAAUAUUAAUUUAUUAAUAAUCUUAUAAUACGAUAUGAUUUCAUAAAAGUAAAAAUACACAAUAAAGUACAAGAUAUUUGAUAACAUUUGAAAUUAAAUUACAAACAAAUUGUUUUAUAAUCAACAAAACUAAGAAUAGGCCAAUAACUAAAGUCAUUGUAAGAAGUCUAGGUUAAAACAAUCAUCAUUGAGUGUCUACAAACAUAAUGCUUGAAGUAAAUAAAUAAUUACCUGAAAUAACUAAUCCCAUCAUAGGUUUUUAUGGAGCAACAUCUGUAUAAAAUAAAAAACAUAAUUACUUACUUAAGUUAAGAACAAAAAAAUUAGAGUAAUUUUAAAAAUGAUUUAUAUGAAACACUAAAUACCAAAAUAUUAGUAUGUAAACAGUACUAAACAACAUUUAUGUUAUUUUAUUUAAAUUAAAUGUCCAGCAAAAAAUUAGAGUAAUUCUAGGUACAUAUAGUAUACAAAACUCAACCUAAUUGCUAUUAAUGAUAGAUUUUACACACAAAAGACAAAUUUUAAUAAAUAGAUAAAGGAACCAAAAUAACAAAGUAACUUAAAAUGGUAUUGCAUAAAUAACUCAAUUCCAAUUUCAAUGAGCAAAAGAACAUUAUAUACAUAUAUAAAGAUAGGCAUGAAAAAAAUUGUAAUAUUUACAAUUGAAUGUAUCAUCUCUUACCAACGUGAUUCAAAGAAAAAGCAAAAAAAAAUAAUUGUAUAACUCCAAAUAGUAUAUGAAGGUAGACUUAAAAAACCAAUUUCAUAUAUAAUAAUCAAUAAGAAAUUUUAAAACAAAUAGCAUUUUAAAUAAGAUUGUUGUCUAAUGCCAAAGUAGGUUCGCUAAUAUAACUUGUGCAAUGUUAAAUGCAUACCAUACAAAAGUGUGCACUACAUAAGUCAUAAGCCACUUAUUUAACAAGGAAAAGCAUAAGGUAAUGGUAAUCAGCCAUAGUAUAUUACAAGGAUACUAAAUAAUUAUGACAGCCAAGAGGCACUUCUCGACCUUUUGGUAAAAAUUGGAGCACAUGAUUAGGAGUAAAAAAUUCCAUGAUGCCAAAUGCAAAAAUUAUUCCAUAGGCCUAUACAGUUAUCAAUAAAUAUUUUUAAAUAUACGUUAUCAAUAGGAAAUAGCAUAUAUUAUAAGACAUUGCUUAAAUUAAAUGUUACUUCAUAUACCAUAAGAAAAUACCUAAUUAAUGAGCAGGGACAUUGUAUGAUUAUUGAAGUCCUAUCACUUCACAAACUUAAAUAUAAAAUGAUAGAUCAACAAUUAUUUUCUUAGAUAUAAUAGAUCCAGGUCACAAUUGGAGUAAUGUUUCUAUAAUCCAAGUGGAGCUCUACUUAGGACUUUUGCAAGAGCAUAUAAGAGCGAGCAUAUAGCAUUUUACAAUACAAAUUAGUGGGUUUUCAGUAAUUCUUGAAGCAUAGGCAUUUUACCCUUUUUCUCCUUAACCGUGAUCAUGGGGCAUGCCUAAGAAUUUUGGGUGAUCAUUGAUUAGUUCAUUUGUUCUAUUCAAGUAUUUUAGAAUUGUGGGAAGUUUAACCUCUCUUAGUUGACUAAAUAAAGUUAGCCAUAGUUCUGGUUGAUUUUUUACUAGUCAGAUAAUAUUAAAUCCACAAAUGAAAGGCAAUAUAAAAAGGCUUGCAUGAGUGAGUGAACAUAUAUAAUCAUCUAGUAACUUGCGUAUCCUACGUGGAUUAUUCAACUUAGUCAAUAAAAUAAUGUGAGAGCUUAAAAGCCAAGUUCCAAUUUGUUAACUUGCAUUUUCUCUUACUAUGGCUUGCGAGUUUACAAUUAUGGCUAUAUCAACGGUCAUCAAAGCUUUAUUUUUAUCUUUUUUUUUAACUCAAAAACAAAAAAUCUUAAUAGUUAGUGCUUAUUAAUCUAGUAUUAGUGACAAAUUAGUAUCCGUUAGUUCAAAAACUUUGAAAUUGAAACAAUAUCAAAACAUGAUGCUUAUGUACUAUUAAAAAAACCCCAGGAUGCAAGCAUUAAAUCAAUUUAUUGUCAAGAACUAGGCUAGGCUAAAAGAAGAAACCCAACUGUUAUGAACAAGGACUGGCAACUACAUAUAGCAUACGAUAUCAUUCCACACAUCAAAUAAAGGCUCUCUGACAAUUUUCAAUUUUUUUCAAGCUUAAGAAUUCUAAAUGGAGACCUAGGUUGUAAGCCAUUCUAAACUUUUUAAGUCUUGACAAUUUUAUUCCUAUGUUAUUCUUUUCAAUUGUUUCAAAAGCUCCUUAAGAAUCAUAAUAUAAAUUCUUUAGAUGGCAAUCAUAAUGGUUAAGAAACUUGCUUUUUUAAUAAAUUCUUUAUUCUGCCUAAUAGAUACUAAUUUAAAAAAAACUGCUAAUUUAAAAAAACCUGUAAGCUAUUCCCAAAAAAUUAAGAAAAUUGUAAAUGGUAAGGCAAAAAUCCCAACCUACCCAUUAUCUCUAAUCGGGGACUAUCAGUUAAGGGGACGUAGCAGCAAUAGAAUGGCUUUCACGAAUUGAUUCAUUUAACAGGACAUGGCAUCAACAGACUGGCUUUCAUGAUUUGAAUCGGUUAAAGGUACAUGACAGCAACAGAGUAGCUUUCAUGGUGGAAAAGCGUAAAAACUGAGAACAUGGCAGUCAGAGAACUCACCUCUGAGAAACAACCAAGACGAAUUGUCAGUUGAAGGGGACUACCGGUGCCAACUAUAGCAACGACCAUGACAGCAAUAGAGCUUAGGAAAAGGAUUGUGGUUUUAAUGGUGGCAGCGAAGAUAAGGGGUAAAGGGCUUGUUUAUUUAAGAGGAAAUACACAGCUUAUCUCAAAAUGAAAAGAAACAAUAC